This 253-nucleotide ribosomal RNA is filed under the name uncultured bacterium. RNAcentral describes it as "partial 16S ribosomal RNA". It matches the Rfam family "Bacterial small subunit ribosomal RNA", at positions 524 to 776 of the family's 1533-position model. The record is from RNAcentral.
GACGUAGGGCGCGAGCGUUGUCCGGAUUUAUUGGGCGUAAAGAGCUCGUAGGCGGUUUGUCGCGUCGUUCGUGAAAACUCACAGCUCAACUGUGAGCUUGCGGUCGAUACGGGCAGGCUAGAGUUCGGUAGGGGAGACUGGAAUUCCUGGUGUAGCGGUGAAAUGCGCAGAUAUCAGGAGGAACACCGGUGGCGAAGGCGGGUCUCUGGGCCGAUACUGACGCUGAGGAGCGAAAGCGUGGGGAGCGAACAGG